GAUGAACGCUGGCGGCGUGCCUAAUACAUGCAAGUCGAGCGAACGGACGAGAAGCUUGCUUCUCUGAUGUUAGCGGCGGACGGGUGAGUAACACGUGGAUAACCUACCUAUAAGACUGGGAUAACUUCGGGAAACCGUAGCUAAUACCGGAUAAUAUUUUGAACCGCAUGGUUCAAAAGUGAAAGACGGUCUUGCUGUCACUUAUGGAUGGAUCCGCGCUGCAUUAGCUAGUUGGUAAGGUAACGGCUUACCAAGGCAACGAUGCAUAGCCGACCUGAGAGGGUGAUCGGCCACACUGGAACUGAGACACGGUCCAGACUCCUACGGGAGGCAGCAGUAGGGAAUCUUCCGCAAUGGGCGAAAGCCUGACGGAGCAACGCCGCGUGAGUGAUGAAGGUCUUCGGAUCGUAUAACUCUGUUAUUAGGGAAGAACAUAUGUGUAAGUAACUGUGCACAUCUUGACGGUACCUAAUCAGAAAGCCACGGCUAACUACGUG
RNAcentral lists this ribosomal RNA (497 nucleotides) under uncultured bacterium. RNAcentral describes it as "partial 16S ribosomal RNA". It matches the Rfam family "Bacterial small subunit ribosomal RNA", at positions 28 to 507 of the family's 1533-position model. The record is from RNAcentral.